UGUUGAUGCACAUCUCAAAAUGUUCCUUAAGAGAAAAGGAGGGGUGAAUGCUGUAAAUGGGUAUGACUGGGUGACAAAGACUCUAGGCACUGAAGUCCAUUAGGAAUACAUUAUCAGAUGAAGGUAAUUAUUCAAAGAAGAACAACAGAUGCCAUUUGUAUGCAGAUGAUAUGAGAGGAAAAAUAUUGGCACAGAAUGCAUGUAACACCUCAAGCUAUUAUGUGUAUUUCAUGGACAUACAGAAGAACGAAUGAACAAGAAGCUAUGGGUCCUACCAAAGGUGAAGCAUCCAGAGGCAGACAAUUCCACAAUAAAGAGCAUAUGCCGGGUACUCAUUUUACCAACCACGGAUGGAUGGAAGGCUGAGUGGACCUCGACCCCUUUUACCAGAGAUUCGACUUCCUCCUUUCAUUGGAAUCGAACUCCGGCUGUGAGCAGAGCUUGCAA
Molecule: long non-coding RNA, 447 nt
Organism: Rhineura floridana
Lineage: Eukaryota; Metazoa; Chordata; Lepidosauria; Squamata; Rhineuridae
Exons: 3
Source: RefSeq, a predicted model, not a curated record